CCACCCCACCAUUGAUAGUCCCUACACACACCAUUGAUAUACAACUAUCAUUGACCAUUUGAUCAUAAUCAAACGCCAAAGAAUCCAUGACCUACCACUCCAAAUUCACACAAAAACUUGACAAGUGUUUUCAUAAACAACACCACAUUUAGUAUUCACAUGUUGAUACCUAACCAUGUCCAUAUAAAUACACAACAUAACACAAAACUAUACUUUGCACCAAAUUUCACAUUUUCCAUCCAUUUGUUUUUUUCCUUACAACUUUAAAACAACAUGAACCACUUUCAUUUCUUUCUCAUCCUUUCUCUUCUUUUUCUCACACCAAGAGUUCAUCAUGCUAUAAGAGUCAAAUUCUCAAGCCCUUCAACUUCAACUUCAUCUCAUCAUGCUUUUCAUAUUCCAUUUUUCAAUUCUUCUCCAAUCAGAAGCAAAGGUAGAGAUUUCAAGUCUCAGAAACGUAAAGUUCCUACAGGAUCCAACCCUUUACACAACAAGAGAUAGUUUCAUUUCUCAUCAGGUUUUUGGUGGAAGAAUCAAUUAAUUGUUGAGAUAGUAUAGUCAAAUUUAUAUAAUAUAGUUUAUUUUAGUUAUUUAUUUCUUUGUCAUAUACUAGAAAUUAGACAUAACUAUUUAUAUGAUAUAUAGUAGCAGAAUUUUAGGUUCCAUUUGUUUGUGAUAUUAAUUAGAAUUAGUUAUUGGUUAGCAAGAUUUGUAGAGACUAAAGAGUCUUGUAAAGAAGGUAAAUAGGAUUUUGAAUUUUUGGAAAUUAUACAUUUAAUUUCUUUGCCAUUUAACCUUAAUAAUUUUUUAUUUUCUAUUUUGCAAUUUUAUGCUUAUGGCUCAAUUUUUUUAAAGGGUUGCCAUAAUUGACAAUUUUGUUCAUGUCAAAUCAUUUUGGAAAUUCUAGCUAUUUCUAGUUGACCAUAGAAUAUGAGUUUUUAUUAUUGAACCUUUGGUGGACACAAUUAUAUCCAUGUAAGUAUUUUUUCCACUAUCAUAUUCUACAUCUGCAUAGAUUUUAAAAUAUUUAGAUAUUAUGGAGUAGAACUGAUUUAGCUUCUAAAUUUUAUUU
This 1072-nucleotide long non-coding RNA is filed under the name Lathyrus oleraceus (garden pea). Its description in RNAcentral is "Pisum sativum (pea) long non-coding RNA (PSAT_LNC034823)". The record is from RNAcentral. Lineage: Eukaryota; Viridiplantae; Streptophyta; Magnoliopsida; Fabales; Fabaceae.